CUAGUUGGUGGGGUCAAAGCCCACCAAGGCGACGAUCGAUAGCUGGUCUGAGAGGACGAUCAGCCACACUGGGAUUGAGAACGGCCCAGACUCCUACGGGGGGCAGCAGUGAGGAAUUUUCGUCAAUGGGGGCAACCCUGAACGAGCAACGCCGCGUGCAGGAUGAAGGUUUUCGGAUCGUAAACUGCUUUUCUCUGGGACGAGCAAGGACGGUACCAGAGGAAUCAGCCCCGGCUAACUACGUGCCAGCAGCCGCGGUAAUACGUAGGGGGCAAGCGUUGUCCGGAUUUAUUGGGCGUAAAGGGUCCGCAGGCGGUUUGGUAAGUUUGACGUGACAGUUCCUGGCUCAACUGGGAAAGUGCGUUGGAAACUGCCAGACUUGAGGGCUUCAGAGGGAUGCGGAAUUCCGGGUGGAGUGGUGAAAUGCGUAGAUAUCCGGAGGAACACCAAAGGCGAAGGCAGCAUCCUGGGAAGUCUCUGACGCUGAUGGACGAAAGCUAGGGGAGCGAACGGGAUUAGAUACCCCGGUAGUCCUAGCCGUAAACGAUGACCACUAGACGUAAGAGGUAUCGACCCCCCUUGUGUCGUAGUUAACACGAUAAGUGGUCCGCCUGGGGAGUACGGUCGCAAGAUUAAAACUCAAAGGAAUUGACG
Molecule: ribosomal RNA, 654 nt
Filed under: uncultured bacterium
Lineage: Bacteria
Description: SSU rRNA
Rfam family: Bacterial small subunit ribosomal RNA
Source: RNAcentral